AGAGUUUGAUUAUGGCUCAGGACGAACGCUGGCGGCGUGCUUAACACAUGCAAGUCGAACGGGGAUAAGUUGGAAAGGCUUCGGCCCGGAAGACAUAAUUCGAGUGGCGGACGGGUGAGUAACGCGUGAGCAACCUGUCCCAGACAGGGGGAUAACACUUGGAAACAGGUGCUAAUACCGCAUAAGACCACGGGGUCACAUGGCCCAGGGGUAAAAGGAGCAAUCCGGUUUGGGGUGGGCUCGCGUCCGAUUAGAUAGUUGGUGAGGUAACGGCCCACCAAGUCAACGAUCGGUAGCCGACCUGAGAGGGUGAUCGGCCACAUUGGAACUGAGAGACGGUCCAAACUCCUACGGGAGGCAGCAGUGGGGAAUAUUGGGCAAUGGGCGAAAGCCUGAACCCCAGCAACGCCGCGUGAGUGAAGAAGGCCUUCGGGUUGUAAAGCUCUGUUAUGUGGGACGAAGGAAGUGACGGUACCACAUAAGGAAGCCCCGGCUAACUACGUGCCAGCAGCUGC
RNAcentral lists this ribosomal RNA (515 nucleotides) under uncultured bacterium. Its description in RNAcentral is "bacterial SSU rRNA". It matches the Rfam family "Bacterial small subunit ribosomal RNA", at positions 8 to 518 of the family's 1533-position model. The record is from RNAcentral.